AUAAAUACCGAGGCAUAGCAGAGCUUGGAGAUAUAGCAAGUCACAAAGCAAAACAGAAAACUUCACAUACAAGUCUCCAGGCUCAUCUCGUGUUCAAACUCGAUCACCAUGUCGGACAAGUGCGGCAACUGCGACUGCGCUGACAAGAGCCAGUGCACGAAGAAGGGAAGCAGCUAUGCUGCUGAUUUCGUGGAGACUCAGAAGAGCUAUGUAGAGACUGUUUUCGUGGAUGCUCCAGCAGCUGAGCAUGAAGGCCAGUGCAAGUGCGGCACCAGCUGCGCGUGCAUUAAUUGCACCUGUGAUCAGUGAGCACAGAGACCCCGUGCUCUAUGCAUGUUCUGUGGAAGUUACUGAUAAGUAAUAAUGUUGUUGUGGUGUGAUUUCAUUAUUGUCUUGUACUGUCCUUUGGCUGCUCCAGUGGCAUCUGCAUCAUGGUGCAGAUGCUUCACUAAUAAUGUCGUGUAUCCCAUCUUUAAGGCUCAAUGAACUAAUAUUUAGUAUAA
Molecule: long non-coding RNA, 503 nt
Organism: Rhodamnia argentea
Lineage: Eukaryota; Viridiplantae; Streptophyta; Magnoliopsida; Myrtales; Myrtaceae
Exons: 3
Source: RefSeq, a predicted model, not a curated record